Molecule: long non-coding RNA, 635 nt
Filed under: Capsicum annuum
Lineage: Eukaryota; Viridiplantae; Streptophyta; Magnoliopsida; Solanales; Solanaceae
Description: long non-coding RNA (CANN_LNC011564)
Source: RNAcentral
AGUCCUUUUGGAUUCACCCAACUCGGACAUGAAGUCAGCAUUCUUCCUACCAGCAGUGCAUUCUCAAGCAAGAGAGAGUCAAAGUCAAGCUAACCUCGGUAAAGCCGCAUCUAUAGAGAUCCCCACAGCUGAUUCCCUUGACGAGAGGCUGAGGCUAAGGAGAAAGCAAAGCUAACUACUAAAAGACAAGAGCCUUGAUUUUAUGCCAUCUUCUUAGACUAUUCAACCUCCUGCUGCACGAGAUGAGACAAUGCAAAAGGAAGAAAAAGACCAGUGCCGCCUAUUCACAUACGUGCCUGGAAGCGAAAAUGCUUUAGAAUCAAUGGCUAACAGCCCUGCUAAUGCUUUUCCAUUCUGAUUCAAUAGCAAACAGAGCAUUCUUUGCUUCGGAUUCCAUUCCUUCAAACAAUUCUAUCACACACGGCGAAUCGAGUUCAAAGAACUCUCCCGGAAGCAUGCAUUGACAAACUAAUAGCGAGGUUUUGGGCCGAUACAAUAAUAACUGUGUACUUAUCUCAUAAUGUGAGAUGAGAAUUAGGAAUUAACUUAUGUAAUAGAGUCGAUCCACUAAAGUCUUGAGCAGCGGUGUAGGAUCAGAUCCCAAAGAUAGUAAGUAUUUUCUUUCUUAUGAAAGA